AUGGCGGCGCCAAACCGGAGAGGUGGCAGCGGCCGGAAGAAGAUCGUCAUCCGCCGGAUCGAGCAGGAGGAUGCCCGGUUCGUCUGCUACUUCAAGCGCCGCCAGGGGUUCUUCAACAAGGCCACGGAUCUGGCGGUCCUAACCGGCGCCCAGGUGGCCGCCCUCGCCUUCUCUCCCCGCGGCAGGGCCUUCUCCUUCGGCCACCCCUCCGUCGACUCCGUCGUGGAACGCUUCCUGACGGGGGAGGCUGCGGGGGCUGGCGCGAGGGAGGAGGGCGCUGCCGACGACCGCUUGCUGGCGGGGGACGGCGCUGCCGGCGAAGACGAGAAACUCGAGAAGCUGCAGCAGGAGUUCGACGAGCUGCGCACGGAGCUGACCGAGUUGAAGAAGCGGACCAAGCGCACGGACAAGGCCAUGGCAAAAGAGCGCUCUGCGGGGGACCCGAAAACAUGUUUUAGAGCCUAUGCACCCGGGUACUCCUUAUCCAACCACUCAUUUCUGCAUCAGGAUUCGUGCAAAUAA
RNAcentral lists this ribosomal RNA (522 nucleotides) under Triticum aestivum (bread wheat). Its description in RNAcentral is "partial small subunit ribosomal RNA". Lineage: Eukaryota; Viridiplantae; Streptophyta; Magnoliopsida; Poales; Poaceae. The record is from RNAcentral.